Molecule: long non-coding RNA, 743 nt
Organism: Cucumis melo (muskmelon)
Lineage: Eukaryota; Viridiplantae; Streptophyta; Magnoliopsida; Cucurbitales; Cucurbitaceae
Exons: 2
Source: RefSeq, a predicted model, not a curated record
GCUCCAACUAGGAAGAAAAAAGAAGAUGAAUGAACCCCACUAACCCCUUUGUAGCUUCCUUCGCCCCAGUCAGAUAGGGGAUGAGAUCUUAAGUCAGAAGCUUUUCUAUGUGCUUUCAAAUAAUAAGGAAGACGAAAGUCAGGCAAGGCGGAGUGGGGUCAAGUCCCUUGCCUACGUCUUCCUCUUGUUGAAAAGCUACAUAGGAGUCCUCCUCUGAUUUAUGAAUGUUCAUUGAUUGCGCUCCCGUCCUUUUGCAUCAAAAUAGAAGUUUGCUUUUCUUAUUUAGUGCUUCAUGAUACAGAUAUUUGUUAUAUUCUUCAUAGCCACGUCCGUGUCCAUGCAUGUAAGAAGUUGAUAGACCGACAUCCAUGUAUGAAGAUGAUGGAUUGACCCCUGAAUCAUAAUAUCCUGCUCCAAAUGCUACCAUCAUCAUCAUUGGACUACCAUAACCAGUUUGGCUUUGUGUCUGUGUCGUAGGAGGCACUUCUUCCAUAUUAUGAUAAUCUUCAUCGAGUUCAACUUCUUCCACUCGAACACGUCCCUAAUGAACGGGUGGAGGUACAAUAGGUAGAUCGUACAUAUUAUGUAUCUCCUCCAUGUAUCUCUCAUUAUUAUUGCAUAUAUCAAGGACUUGUUAUGGAUCAUCUGCAACAUCACAAAGUCUUGCGUUGUUCGAUCUCUUUGAAUUGUAAAAAAAACUAAAAAUAUUUAAUUGAGUAAAUAAUUUAAGUAAUUAUACAAGA